Molecule: long non-coding RNA, 3815 nt
Organism: Macaca fascicularis (crab-eating macaque)
Lineage: Eukaryota; Metazoa; Chordata; Mammalia; Primates; Cercopithecidae
Source: Ensembl
GCAGAGACAGACUGGCUGAUGUUGUAUAGUUUGUAGCCCUAGAGUAAGAAGUUGACAUUAAUUUUGGCUUAUAUGUGGAAAAGACCUAUAACAUUGGGUGAACUGAGCCAGCUGGCCAUAGAACACAAGAACAUAUUCCAGGAAAUAAAUAUAGCUGAGGGUUGGAAAUGCUGUUAUUACCAAGAGAGAAAACAGGUGAGUUGGGAUUGAGAACUCCUGAUUUUCAUCCCUGGUUUAGAUUCUUGGCCACAGUAGUGGUAGAGUUAGUCUUUGCUUGUGGAAAGCGUUAAGUGUGUUGCAGAUUCAGUUGUGUUACAUUAUUGUGGGUUCUAUAACAACAUAUUCCUCAUGGACACUUCACCAGAGUUGCUCACACUUUUUUCAAUUUCUCAUCCCUUUUGGAGGAAUGAACAUGAGACUGCCUUUAAGCCUAAAACAGGGACAUGCUCUCCAAUGACGAGAUUUUCUAAAGAGAAGGCUUGGAGCACAUCUGUUAAUACCUGAGCAUCUACUCUGAGCAGAGCAGUUUUAUUCAAUACUGAAGAGAGGGUGAUUUCUAAGCAAAGAAUUGUAUCACUUAUGUGGAAACCUUUCCCAGAAAUACAUAUACCUUGUAUAUUAAAUCCGAGUCUCAGAUUUAAUCAUCGAAGCCUAGCCGGGUGAAGAAACAGUCUGAUCUGGCCGGGUGCAGUGCCUGCCACCACACCUGGCUAAUUUUUGUAUUUUUAGUAGAGAUGGGGUUCACCAUCUUGGCCGUGCUGGUCUUGAACUCCUGACCUUGUGAUCCACCCACCUCGGCCACUCAAAGUGCUAGGAUUACAGGCGUGAGCCACCGCACCCGGCUACAGUAUCUUUAUUACAGCUCACUGCAGCCUCAAUCUUUUGGGCUCAAAUGAUCCUCCUGCCUCAGUCUCCCAAGUAGCUGGGACUACAGGCACACACCGCGGUGCCUGGCUAUUUUAUUAUUUUAAAAAAUUUUUUGUAGACACAGUCUCCCUGUGUUGCCCAGGCUGGUCUCCAACUCCUGGGCUCAAGUGAUCCACCCGCCUCAGCCUCCCAAAGUGCUGGGAUUACAGGCAUGAGCCACUGCACCCGGCUCCUAGUGAACAUUUUACUGUGUGUGUUGAUAAAUCAUCUUUUGAGCUUCUGUUGUAUGUGGGGACUUGCUACACUGGCUGCUGUGAAGAGGUAUGGGAAAAAGGAGAGGCUUUCUGCCUAGAAAUUCUUUGAGAACACCUGAAAAGACAGUUGAAUCAUGUCACAACACUCUUAAGGCUCAAGUCAGUGUUUUCUGGUUUCCAGUAGCUUUAGGACUGGAUUCUUUUAAACCAGGGCUGAUGGUGAGUUUGGUGUCUGUCUCAUGUCCCCCUCACUCCCCACCUCCUCAGUUUAAGAUAAGAGACAUAAUGAUUUCUACCAGAAUCCAAAGUAAAUCCAAAGGGGGAGAAAAGACAUACUGUUUUUUCUUCUACCUUUUUUUUUUUUUUAUUAAAGAGUUACGUCUCUGGCAGGAGGAAAGAAUACAAGAGUCUAUAUGAUUAGUUAGAGAGAAUAUUUUCAUCCCCUCUCCCUGAAUAGAAAAGCAGGGGUCACCAUGUGUAUCCUUACCCUUGAGGUGUUUUUGAAGAUGCUGCAACUCCUGAAGUAGAGCUGAGGCAGAAAGGUUGGAAAAAUGCCGCCCUCUGGGUAUUGUGGGAAGGGAUGUGACAUAGUAAGAGGGUGUUUUGUGGUGUUAGGAUUCCCACGCCACCAACCUUGCAGCUUUGUAAGGGCGCUACCAAGACCCACCACUGGGGAAAUGGUUCUUAUUCAUUGUUUCUGUUGGAAUGUGGUCUUGCUUUCUGGAUUUUAGGAAUUCAGGUUACUCAAUAUAAAACUUUGAGAAAUCAGUGUGACUUAGUCCUUCACCUCCUAAUAUAAAGUGAAUAUUUCUUUAUAAAAGAAUUCAUGUCCUUAAUGUUAAAGAUAUUUUAUUUUCAAAACAUCUGUAACAUGACUUUCAGAAGCAGUUCAUUUUUCCAAGAUUCCCCACAUUAUACUAGAUAAAUAAUAGGCCCUCAGUUAAUACUCUUGGGUUAUUGAAUUAAUCUAGUUUGCAGAAUGAGGUGUACCUGCCAAUUUUCCUCUGCUUCCAAGUGUACUCUGAGAAGUAAAAUGCUCUGGGAAAUGGAACAAGAAUUGAGUGGAUGCUGACUCUGUGUGCCCACCUCCUCAACUGAUUCAUAAUGGCUGACCUUGGGCAAGUCACUUCUUUCAAUGCCUCAGUUCCCCAUCUGUCAAAUGGGGGUAAUAAUACUGACCUACCUCACAGGGGUGGUGUUGUGAGGCAUUGUAAAUCAAAGUUAAUAGAAUACUUCAGGGUCCUCUGUGGAGGAUGUCUUGAGCCGGAGUUUAAGCCUGACACACAGGCUUUCAUCCUCACUGAGCUGUCUCCAAGACUGGAACUACUUAGUGACUCGGCAAAUUCUCUGCCCCCCACCCCUCAUCAAAGCUGCUAGUUCAGAUGUUGACAGUGUUUUCAUGAAUGUUAGAAUCUUAUUAGUCCAGACUUUCUUAGGAUGUUGUUGGGGAAGGCACUUAGGAUUUUCUGUGUUUUGCAUUCACAGAGGAAGGCCAUUUCAGAUUCAAGAGCAUUGGAUUAGGGAAUCGUGAGGCAGAGAUGCUACUGCUUAUUUCUCUCUGCAGGUUGGGGAUUAAAGUUCCAUUCCCCAUGGGUUUGAAGUAGACUCAGACUGUCUCAGGAUCAAAGCAACCCUCAGUGGUUUUGAUUUAUGUCAUUGCUUACCACUCCCCAAACUGAUCCCAGGACAGCUGGGUCACUGUACCCCUUUGUGGUAUCUGUACCCGGGCCUCUCCUUUCUCAUAGGGACCAGCUGAUUCAAUAAAUAUGACCACCUUGUUUCCACCCCCCAAAAAAAAACUACAUUGGAAUUAAAUUAUUUUUCCUAGAAAUGUGUGUAACACUCAGAAUUGGGCAUUGAUCCUUAAAGCUUCAUCCAAUUCACUGUAUUCAGCAUCUUGUCAUCUCUUUCUCAGUGUCUGCAGUCUGAACCUAACCUUGACCUUUUUUCCCUCUGGUUUGAGAAAACUUUGGACACUAUUUCUACUUGCCCAGGUGUGGGCUCAAGAGCCUUACUCUGUCCAUCUCAGUUUAGGGGUGCAGCCAGCUCCUCUUCCCAAUAGGGCUCUUUCUCCUUUUCCUCUCCUUGGCCCUAGAUUUGUAAUCCAUGAAAAAGCACAAGGUCCUGGCUCCUUGCGGUCACAUUCUGGUUCUCUGUGUUUUGUGGACUCUGUUCUCACUGUUCACCCAGCACUAGCAGUACCAGACGGUUCUGUGGAGUCCUGGGGAAUGGAGAGAGCACAGUCUGAUGUCCUGCCAAGGAGCCAGGAAUUGACUUGCCCAUGGUCCGCUGGCUUUCCCACCACUUCCUACAGGAUGGGAUCUAAGAGACUCAGGAGCUGGGUUUCUUUCAGCACUCUGUACUGUCCCAAGUAGCAAACAAAUCACUUUGUAGCCAGAUUUCUGAAUGGAAAUGAGAAAUUGAAUUCUCCAUGGACUUUUAGGUUUAUGGGGGAGUUUUGAUUGUGUUUCUUGGUUUUAUUUCAGCCAAACAUGUCUGCUUUCGAUUUUUUUUAAAAAAACUGUAAGUGGUCUAUAUAUAUGUUCACCUUUUAAAUGUAAAUGUUUAAAAAGUAAGCAUUUAUGUGUUUCCAUAACUGACAUCUGAUGCAGACCUCAUUCUCUCCCCCUCUUCUACCCUCCUCUUUUCCCUCUUUUCAUACUCUUGUAUUGGUUCUAAUAAAUGGUUGCUUUU